CCAAGGUCCUUUAAAUAUUGUCAGACGCGUCCCAAAGUGCGGCCCGGUCUGAAAGAAUCAAAACAGAGUAGAAACAGGACCCGAUCUAGGUCAUGUAUCGCCGAGGCGAGCUCCCUGUUCGCCUGUGCAUGAAUUGAGGAGCAUGUUGGGCUUGGGCGUCAAUUUGGACGCCUAGCGGUGAUUUGCUCCACGCUGUUUUCUCGUUCCUG
RNAcentral lists this long non-coding RNA (209 nucleotides) under Vigna radiata. RNAcentral's name for it is "long non-coding RNA (VRAD_LNC011453)". The record is from RNAcentral. Lineage: Eukaryota; Viridiplantae; Streptophyta; Magnoliopsida; Fabales; Fabaceae.